UUUUAUGGCCUUAGUGCAAAUGGAUUCUUCAGCAGAUCAACUAACUUUCUAGCUGUUAGUUUACUGCUGCCUCAACUCUGUAAAUCUUACAUCUAAAGUAUAUAUACCAGGAGGCAACAUUACCGCUUUCUCAAAAGCCUUUUUCAUGAUUCUCAAAUUAAUCACAGAGUUUCUACAUUUGGAUUCUCUGCUUAAACGCUUCAACGUUGAAGGCUUGAAUCUAUUGAGAAUGCUCUGCAUGCUGCUGAUUAGCCCUUGCCACUGUCUGAAGAUGAAAUAAUAAGAAAAUGAGAUCCUAGUACAUUAAUCAAACAGAUUCAUUACGCAUAAUCUCUCAUGGGUGAUAUUUACCUGAAAUGCUGGCAGAUGUGGUGCAUGCAAAAGCUGGAUGUAUGGAGUGAAUUGCUUACUGAUAUUGAAACACUUUGUCUCACCUAUCUUGAUUGUGCAUCACCUAGCUUUUGCCUUUUGAUGGCUUGAUUUUCUGAAUCAGACUAAUAGUGUUAGCUACGUUUUUAACACUUGUUUCCCUGCAGUGAGAUACAUAACACAUAAAACCGCAUUACGAGAGGAACAUGAGACCAAAGUUAAGUUCAGACGGAUUCUUCAGCCUAGUUUGUUGCUUCUUAGGGUCCAUUGACUUUCCUCCUUAACAAUGAGAAGAAAGUAAAUCUCUAUAUAUCUCCAUCAUCUAGAGAAGCAGCAACAGCAAAACUAAAAAAUCUUCAUUAUCAUCAAGACCAUAUAUACAAACAAAAUUUAUAUGCAAGUAAGCAAAACAUUCAAAUGAGAGAUCACUUACAGUGCAAGAAGAGGCUUUUACCAUCGUUAGGUCAUAAUCAAGCUUUUGUCUUUUUUAUCGCUUUGAUUUUCCUGAAUCAGAUUGGUAGUGUUAUUUUGAAUACUUGUUUCCGUCAAAGAAUCAAGACAUUAAAGAACCUAAUCAACACAUUUAAGUCAAUGAUGAGGUUUAAAGAGUUUCAGGCAUGUAGUGAGAUCAUGCUGAACUUUUAACCAUUAAGCUUACUUGUCUUGAUUUUGAAUCAUCUAGCUUUGCCUUUUGAUAGCUUCAUUUUCCUGAAUGAAUUUGGCAGAGCUAGCUAUGUUUUUAACACUAUUUUCCCUGCAGUGAGGCAAUAAAGGCCCAAAAAAAAAAACAUUACUAAAAGUAGGAACGUGAAACCAGAUUUAUGUAUCAAAAUGGUUAUUGGUUAUUAAUUAUGAAUGUGAGCUAC
This 1235-nucleotide long non-coding RNA is filed under the name Capsella rubella. Its description in RNAcentral is "long non-coding RNA (CRUB_LNC001975)". The record is from RNAcentral. Lineage: Eukaryota; Viridiplantae; Streptophyta; Magnoliopsida; Brassicales; Brassicaceae.